This 262-nucleotide ribosomal RNA is filed under the name uncultured bacterium. RNAcentral's name for it is "partial 16S ribosomal RNA". It matches the Rfam family "Bacterial small subunit ribosomal RNA", at positions 793 to 1055 of the family's 1533-position model. The record is from RNAcentral.
GUCCACGCCGUAAACGAUGGGCAUUAGGUGUGGGAGGUGUCGACUCCUCCCGUGCCGUCGCUAACGCAUUAAAUGCCCCGCCUGGGGAGUACGGCCGCAAGGCUAAAACUCAAAGGAAUUGACGGGGCCCGCACAAGCAGCGGAGCAUGUGGUUUAAUUCGACGCAACGCGAAGAACCUUACCUGGGUUUGACAUGUUGGUGACCGGUGUGGAAACACACCUUUCCUUCGGGACACCAUCACAGGUGGUGCAUGGCUGUCGU